Long non-coding RNA from Xiphophorus maculatus (southern platyfish), 831 nucleotides. RefSeq lists it as uncharacterized. The transcript has 3 exons. NCBI's taxonomy places the organism in Eukaryota, Metazoa, Chordata, Actinopteri, Cyprinodontiformes, Poeciliidae. The record is from RefSeq and is a predicted model, not a curated record.
UGCAACCUUUAUGUUUUCAUUAAUCUGGUCCGUGUUGAAAAUCCAGUGACUUUCCUCUGACCUUUGACCUGCUGCCACCAGCUUUGUUGACGUUGUGAAAUGAUAUCCAGAAAAAAAAAAAGUGUUUGUUUUGAAAAUCUCCAGGACUCCCCCUGUGCGCUUCCCGUGUCCGACUUCCUACCUGGUUAAUCUGCUGUCUGCAGGCAAAGAAAACAAAGGCGUCCCUGGUCCAGAGAACGAGGACGGGCAAGCCAGAAGGAAAGGAGGGGAAAGCAAAAAAGCCGAGGACAAUAGUCAUUCUGUCCCCAGAGAGGGCCUCCAGCCAUACUUCUGCCAGAGACAGGAAGUCCAGCAUAAUGUUUGCCAAACCGGAGGCUACAAGGGGUUCCCUGAAGGAAACCUGAGACAGCGGGACACCGGAUCACAGAAGGGACCCGGGCCCCCCUUUCUGCAUGUGCAGGUACAAUGGAACCUGCUGCUCCGAGGACCAUUCAUCACCGGCGAGGGACACGGACCCACUGUGUGUACAGUGACAUCACUGAACAGUAAAAUAUGUCCUAUAACGCGCUUUCCUGAAGACGCAGGAAAAGUAGAAGUCACGUCUUCUUCCAUCGUAAAGCACGAUGAGCGACAGGGUGGAGCAUGAGACCGCCUUAUGGAUACAUGAAAAAAAGUUUCAAUUCAGAAGUUGCUUUGAGUUAAAAAAAUAAAUAAACAAAAGAGCAAACAACACCAACAACUUUGGAGCAUUUGAUGUUUAAAUGUAAAUUAAGUUUUGAACAAAUUAGUGAUUUUUUUUUAUGACAGAGUAUUAGGAAAACGCUAAGAAAA